GCGGCCAACUAUGUGCCAGCAGCCGCGGUGACACAUAGGCUCCAAGCGUUGUCCGGAUUUAUUGGGCGUAAAGAGCUCGUAGGCGGUUGAGUAAGUCGGGUGUGAAAACUUUGGGCUUAACCCAAAGAUGCCACUCGAUACUGUUUAACUUGAGUUCGGUAGGGGAGCGGGGAAUUCCUUGUGUAGCGGUGAAAUGCGCAGAUAUAAGGAGGAACACCGGUGGCGAAGGCGCCGCUCUGGGCCGAUACUGACGCUGAGGAGCGAAAGCGUGGGGAGCAAACAGGAUUAGAUACCCUGGUAGUCCACGCGGUAAACGGUGGUCACUAGGUGUGGGUUUCUAUCAAUGAGAUCCGCGCCGUCGCUAACGCAUUAAGUGACCCGCCUGGGGAGUACGGUCGCAAGACUAAAACUCAAAUGAAUUGACGG
RNAcentral lists this ribosomal RNA (426 nucleotides) under uncultured bacterium. RNAcentral describes it as "bacterial SSU rRNA". It matches the Rfam family "Bacterial small subunit ribosomal RNA", at positions 493 to 916 of the family's 1533-position model. The record is from RNAcentral.